GUACUCCUAUGGCUCCCUCCUUUAAGCACAAGGAUACGAUUCUUUAGAAAGAAGGAAAUAGUCUCAAACAUGUUCUGAUUUGUAACAGAAAAGAAUAACAUACUUUUUAUCUACAGUGAUUAUAUGGGCCUUUGAGGUUCAUGCCCCUUUCAGGGAUGAGGUGAUGUUGAAGCCAUUUCUAGCUAUCAAUGACCUGACAAAAUCUUAUUUCAACUUUGCCUUUCAAUUUCUCAGCUUCUUCACAUGGUCCUUCCAGUAUAAUCCAUACAGCCAAGAACCCUAAAAGUUAUAAUCUUACCCUUAUAAUUCUUUACUCCUUGGCCAUGUUCCCCAUUUCCAGCUAAGCUGAUAUUCACACUGGCCUCUGAUGUAAUGGGACCUUACAUUUACCCAGGUCCUUAUAAAGCAAAAUGCUCUUUGUUUGGUCGCCAAUGAUGUCAGUACAGACCAGCAAACUGGAGGACAGUAAUGCAGGCCUUUCACCUUUUAAAAUGGAGACUGUUGAACUAACUGCCUUUGGAUUUUGGUAACAAAGAGUGGACUAGAAUCUAAAGACAUUAGGAACAUAUCAGUGUCAAAAAACUUUAAAGCAUCUUUGAUAUGACUUAUGAAUGAUCAAAUGGAGUAUAAUCCAUUUGAAAAAUUGUAUGUGUAGACAAUAUAAGCUGGAAGCUUCAUUUAAUAGGGUGGUAAAUGAAAAGAAGUGCACAACGUGCUGACAUAAGAAAGAAUGUUCAUGAGAAGUUGGGUAGAAAUGAUCAUUUCCUCAGAUUUUUAGGGACUUACAAGCAUGGUGGUGCAUACCUAUAAUCCCAGCAAUUCAGGAGGCUGAGGCAAGUUCAAAGACAGAUUCAGCAAUUUAGCAAGGCCCUAAGCAAUUAGUAAGACCCUAUCUCAAAAGUAAAAAAUAAAAAGGGAUGGGAAUAUGGCUCGGUGGUUAAACCUGCUGGGUUCAAUCCCCAUUCCCCUUCCUGUAACAAAACAAAAAAACCCCACAAUUUUAGGGAAAGCUUCGUGGAAGAGAUGGCAAGCAGGACAUCAAAAGAUCUAUUUAUUAGCGAUGCAUGGAGACAGUAUACAGUGUCUAAAGGUGUAGUUUUGAAGCCUGAGUACUUAAUUAAAUCCUGGCUCUGUCACUUGUAAGCUGUAUGACUAUAGGCAGAUAACUUACUAUACUUCAGCUUUCUGAGCCAUUAAAAAGGGAGUCGUCACAUAGCUUUGUAAGUUAAUAAAAUAAAUAUAAAACAUUUAGCAUAGUAUCUUGCCAUUAGGGUUAAAAUAUUCCACAAAUGACCAUUCACAUACCGAGCAUCCUCUCAAGCCUUUCAAUUCCUUAUUAGACUGCUAUUCCUGCCUCAGGCCUUUCACUGUAAAAUAAUGAGGCUAGUCUACAUGGAUAAUUCAGGACUUUAGAGAUGUCAUGGACCAGUCAAUAUAAUGCAAUACAGGGUAGCAUUUUUUUAUUUUGCCAAUUAGAUUUUUAAAAAUGAAGUCUGCCACUUAAUAUCACCAGCAUUUUACUUCAAUAAUAUUAAAACACUCUGUGUGUGUAUGUUGCUGGGGAUUGAAACUGGGGCCUUGCACAUAUUGAGCUUUACCAAUUUACCCCCAGCCUUUUUUAAAAGUUGGAAGACAAUAGGGAUGUUAGCUUAGUAGUAGAGACUUAUCUAGCAUGUGUGAGGACCGAGAUUGGAUUCCCAGAAACUUGGAGGUGGGGGUGGGUAAGGCCACCACUUCAUUUUUCUCGUUUCUCCAUGGACUGUUAUAAACUUGAUCCUUGAUCAUAAACCAACACUAAAGACUGUAUUAUUGCAAAUUUAUUUCUUAAACAUUAGAUUAGGGAUAUAGCUCAGUGAUAGAGUGCUUGCCUAGUGUGCAGGAGACCCUAGGUUCAAUACCCCCCCACACACUCACACACAAAUUAGUGAUAUAUUGUGAAUCAAAUUUCAUUUAGAUGAGGUAUUCAAAUGAGCAACUCAGUUGGUCCAAAAGUAGAUCAUGGGCUAAGAAUCAAAAUCUUUCAACCAUAUCUUGGUUAAAUGGAGAUUCUAAAGUAAUUCUAUUUUGUGGUACUGAAAAGUAAAACUGAAAAAAUCCUUUGAAGCUUAAGGAUACAUUCAAUAUGCUUGGAAAAGCAGAGAAGAAGCAGGUGAUUCCUAGCUUAUGGAACAGGAUGCUAGACUGAGACAUAAGUGAAGCUCUGCUCUGCACUUAGUGAUCAAAAGCAAAAGUUGCAUUUCCGUAACUAUGGUCAUUUUAUUUUACCUAGAUUCAACUAGUUUUUCACAAUCAUGACUAAGUCUGUGAAUAGAAAGAAAAACUGAAUGCAAGAGGCUGAGUGUUUUGCUUUGCACGGACAGAAUAAACUCAUUUUAAUGUUUUUGCCCAAUGAUGCAAGACAGUAAAAGUUUGGUUUGAGAGCUAGAUUGUGCAUUGCAGUGGGUGAACACUCCCAUUUCCAGUCCUUACAGAAAUCACACACACACACACACACACACACACACACCCUCUGGGAGCAUCAGUCUUAUCAUUUAGCAAGUUCUUGUUCUAAAACAUCCCCAGAUGAAGUGGCCAGAAUGACAUUUCUACUUUACUCGUACAAGUUUUAAUUCAUUUAAAGAGAGGAUGCUCCUAGAACAUUUCAGUAAAGGAAGGUAGAAUAGGAUAUGAGAAGAGGAAAAGGGAGUAGAAAGGCAAACAUACAAUUUGUAUGUUCAUACUAAACCCAUCAUCUUUCUAGUCAAUUUUAUAGCUGGAAAGAACUAUUGAGAAAUUUGGGGCCUAUGGGUUAAGUGAUCUGUCCAAGUAGCCUCAGUAAGUUAAUGGCAGAGCUAAAAUUCUACAGGUCUUUUGUAAUCCAGUCUACUUUUUGACCUCCACGCCAAUGGUUCUCACCAUGACUACACAUAAGAAUUACCCGGAGCUUUAAAAAAUUCCCAUGCCCAAACCAUUGUCCAGACUAAUGGAAUUAGAAUCUUGGGGUGGGGAGGCUAAGGUAUCAGUAUUUUUUAAAGUUUUAAUUAAAAGUCAUAGUUAAGAACCACUGUCCCAGAUCAUAGUGGUUCCAAAGAGAAGAAAGGCAGAGGGAAGGAGGACUCUGUGAAUAAGUUUAUUAGGCCCAUCUAGCAAGUCCUUUGGCACCUGCCACAAAUCCUAGGCAAAGUUCAUAUUUGCUCACUGUGACCAUCAUUACAACCACCACUGAUCACACAGUACUACAGAAUAGAAC
Molecule: long non-coding RNA, 3229 nt
Filed under: Marmota monax (woodchuck)
Lineage: Eukaryota; Metazoa; Chordata; Mammalia; Rodentia; Sciuridae
Source: RNAcentral